UACGGGGGGGGCAAGCGUUGUUCGGAAUUACUGGGCGUAAAGGGCUCGUAGGCGGCCAACUAAGUCGGACGUGAAAUCCCUCGGCUUAACCGGGGAACUGCGUCCGAUACUGGAUGGCUUGAGUUUGGGAGAGGGAUGCGGAAUUCCAGGUGUAGCGGUGAAAUGCGUAGAUAUCUGGAGGAACACCGGUGGCGGAGGCAGUUCUCUGGGCCGUAACUGACGCUGAGGAGCGAAAGCGUGGGGAGCGAACAGG
Molecule: ribosomal RNA, 253 nt
Filed under: uncultured bacterium
Lineage: Bacteria
Description: partial 16S ribosomal RNA
Rfam family: Bacterial small subunit ribosomal RNA
Source: RNAcentral